AGUGACCGCUGGCGGUAGGCCUAACACAUGCAAGUAGAACGGCAGCACAGUAAGUGCUUGCUCUUACGGGUGGCGGGUGGCGGACGGGUGAGGUAUACAUCGGACUCUACUUUUUCGUGGGGGAUAACGUAGGGAAACUUACGCUAAUACCGCAUACGACCUACGGGUGAAAGCAGGGGAUCUUCGGACUUUGCGCGCUAGAAUGAGCAGAUGUCGAAUUAGCUCGUUGGCGGGGUAAAGGCCCACAAAGGCGCCAAUCCGUAGCUGGUCUGAGAGGAUGAUCAGCCACACUGGAACUGAGACACGGUCCAGACUCCUACGGGAGGCAGCAGUGGGGAAUAUUGGACAAUGGGCGCAAGCCUGAUCCAGCCAUACCGCGUGGUGGAAGAAGGCCUUCGGGUUGUAAAGCCCUUUUGUUGGGAAAGAAAAGCAGCAGGUUAAUACCCCGCUGUUCUGACGGUACCCAAAGAAUAAGCACCGGCUAACUUCGUG
RNAcentral lists this ribosomal RNA (492 nucleotides) under uncultured bacterium. RNAcentral's name for it is "partial 16S ribosomal RNA". It matches the Rfam family "Bacterial small subunit ribosomal RNA", at positions 29 to 507 of the family's 1533-position model. The record is from RNAcentral.